This 301-nucleotide ribosomal RNA is filed under the name uncultured bacterium. RNAcentral describes it as "partial 16S ribosomal RNA". It matches the Rfam family "Bacterial small subunit ribosomal RNA", at positions 509 to 809 of the family's 1533-position model. The record is from RNAcentral.
CAGUAGCCGCGGUAAAACGAAGGGGGCUAGCGUUGUUCGGAAUUACUGGGCGUAAAGGGCGCGUAGGCGGCCAUUCAAGUUAGAUGUGAAAGCCCUGGGCUCAACCUAGGAAUUGCAUUUGGUACUGUUUGGCUUGAGUUCGGGAGAGGUGAGUGGAAUCCCCAGUGUAGAGGUGAAAUUCGUAGAUAUUGGGAAGGACACCAGUGGCGAAGGCGGCCCACUGGACCGACACUGACGCUGAGGCGCGAAAGCGUGGGGAGCAAACAGGAUUAGAUACCCCCGUAGUCCCUGUCUCUUAUAA